GAUGAACGCUGGCGGCGUGCUUAACACAUGCAAGUCGAGCGAGAGGUUUUGAAAAGAUUCUUCGGAUGAAAUUUAAAAUGGGAAGCGGCGGACGGGUGAGUAACGCGUAGGCAACCUGCCCCAUACAAAGGGAUAGCAUUUGGAAACGAAUAUUAAUACCUUAUGAAACUUAACUAGUGCAUGCUAGGUAGGUCAAAGAUUUAUCGGUAUGGGAUGGGCCUGCGUCUGAUUAGCUAGUUGGUGAGGUAACGGCUCACCAAGGCGACGAUCAGUAGCCGACCUGAGAGGGUGAACGGCCACAUUGGAACUGAGACACGGUCCAAACUCCUACGGGAGGCAGCAGUGGGGAAUAUUGCACAAUGGGGGAAACCCUGAUGCAGCAACGCCGCGUGAACGAUGAAGGCCUUUGGGUCGUAAAGUUCUGUUCUAGGUGAUGAAAACUGACAGUAACCUAGGAGAAAGCCCCGGCUAACUCCGUG
Molecule: ribosomal RNA, 479 nt
Filed under: uncultured bacterium
Lineage: Bacteria
Description: partial 16S ribosomal RNA
Rfam family: Bacterial small subunit ribosomal RNA
Source: RNAcentral